UGGUCUUAGCUUGCUAAGGCCGAUGGCGACCGGCGCACGGGUGAGUAACGCGUAUCCAACCUGCCUUACACUCUUGGACAGCCUUCUGAAAGGAAGAUUAAUACAAGAUGGCAUCAUGAGUCCGCAUGUUCACAUGAUUAAAGGUAUUUUCCGGUAGACGAUGGGGAUGCGUUCCAUUAGAUAGUAGGCGGGGUAACGGCCCACCUAGUCAACGAUGGAUAGGGGUUCUGAGAGGAAGGUCCCCACAUUGGAACUGAGACACGGUCCAAACUCC
RNAcentral lists this ribosomal RNA (274 nucleotides) under uncultured Bacteroides sp. RNAcentral describes it as "partial 16S ribosomal RNA". It matches the Rfam family "Bacterial small subunit ribosomal RNA", at positions 70 to 339 of the family's 1533-position model. The record is from RNAcentral. Lineage: Bacteria; Pseudomonadati; Bacteroidota; Bacteroidia; Bacteroidales; Bacteroidaceae.